GACGAACGCUGGCGGCGCGCCUAACACAUGCAAGUCGAACGAGCGAGAGAGAGCUUGCUUUCUCGAGCGAGUGGCGAACGGGUGAGUAACGCGUGAGGAACCUGCCUCAAAGAGGGGGACAACAGUUGGAAACGACUGCUAAUACCGCAUAAGCCCACGACCCGGCAUCGGGUAGAGGGAAAAGGAGCAAUCCGCUUUGAGAUGGCCUCGCGUCCGAUUAGCUAGUUGGUGAGGUAACGGCCCACCAAGGCGACGAUCGGUAGCCGGACUGAGAGGUUGAACAGCCACAUUGGGACUGAGACACGGCCCAGACUCCUACGGGAGGCAGCAGUGGGGAAUAUUGCACAAUGGGGGAAACCCUGAUGCAGCGACGCCGCGUGGAGGAAGAAGGUCUUCGGAUUGUAAACUCCUGUUGUUGAGGAAGAUAAUGACGGUACUCAACAAGGAAGUGACGGCUAACUACGUG
Molecule: ribosomal RNA, 466 nt
Filed under: uncultured bacterium
Lineage: Bacteria
Description: partial 16S ribosomal RNA
Rfam family: Bacterial small subunit ribosomal RNA
Source: RNAcentral